RNAcentral lists this ribosomal RNA (200 nucleotides) under uncultured prokaryote. Its description in RNAcentral is "partial 16S ribosomal RNA". It matches the Rfam family "Bacterial small subunit ribosomal RNA", at positions 1183 to 1382 of the family's 1533-position model. The record is from RNAcentral.
CGUCAAGUCAUCAUGGCCCUUAUGUCCAGGGCUACACACGUGCUACAAUGGCUGGUACAGAGUGAAGCGAAGCCGCGAGGCAAGAGCGAAACACGAAAGCCAGCCGUAGUUCGGAUUGAAGUCUGAAACCCGACUUCAUGAAGUUGGAAUCGCUAGUAAUCGCGCAUCAGCAUGGCGCGGUGAAUACGUUCCCGGGCCUU